UACAGAGGGUGCAAGCGUUGUUCGGAAUUAUUGGGCGUAAAGCGCACGUAGGCGGCUUUCUAAGUCAGGGGUGAAAUCCUGGAGCUCAACUCCAGAACUGCCUUUGAUACUGGAGAGCUUGAGUCCGGAAGAGGUGAGUGGAACUCCGAGUGUAGAGGUGAAAUUCGUAGAUAUUCGGAAGAACACCAGUGGCGAAGGCGGCUCACUGGUCCGGUACUGACGCUGAUGUGCGAAAGCGUGGGGAGCAAACAGG
Molecule: ribosomal RNA, 253 nt
Filed under: uncultured bacterium
Lineage: Bacteria
Description: partial 16S ribosomal RNA
Rfam family: Bacterial small subunit ribosomal RNA
Source: RNAcentral